RNAcentral lists this long non-coding RNA (210 nucleotides) under Brassica napus (rape). RNAcentral's name for it is "long non-coding RNA (BNAP_LNC001662)". The record is from RNAcentral. Lineage: Eukaryota; Viridiplantae; Streptophyta; Magnoliopsida; Brassicales; Brassicaceae.
CUCUAGCUCUAGUUUUGAAAAGUCUUGGCCCCCAACCUAAAAAAAAAAUAUAUAUAAAAAAAAAAAAAAAAAAAAAGAAAGAAAAGGGGGCUAGCAAAGUUGUUAGGAGCUAAGAAAUGUUUUGAGGUUGUAGAAAAAUCCCUUGUAGAUUUCAAAAAGAAAGAGUUAAAGUUCUUAGGAUCUUUUGGUGAGAGAUGUGAGUUGGGUUUG